GAUGAAUGCUGGCGGCGUGCCUAAUACAUGCAAGUCGAGCGGUAACAGGGAGUUCACAAAGCUUCGGAUUUUUUGGAAAGUGUAACUUACGAAAUAUCGGGAUUUUUGUGAACUUUGCUGACGAGCGGCGGACGGCUGAGUAACGCGUGGGAACGGACCCUAAAGUGAGGAAUAACCUCUCGAAAGAGAGGCUAAUACCGCAUAUGAUCUUCGGAUUAAAGCAUUUAUGCGCUUUGGGACUGGCCUGCGUCUGAUUAGAUAGUUGGUGAGGUAAUGGCUCACCAAGUCGACGAUCAGUAGAUGGUUUGAGAGGAUGAUCAUCCAGACUGGGACUGAGACACGGCUCAGACUCCUACGGGAGGCAGCAGUAGGGAAUCUUUCACAAUGGACGAAAGUCUGAUGGAGCAACGCCGCGUGCAGGACGAAGGCCUUCGGGUCGUAAACUGCUUUUAUUAGCGAGAAAUAUGAUGGUAACUAAUGAAUAAGGAUCGGCUAACUACGUGCCAGCAGCCGCGGUCAUACGUAGGAUCCGAGCAUUAUCCGGAGUGACUGGGCGUAAAGAGUUGCGUAGGUGGCAAGAUAAGUAGAUAGUAAAAUCUGGUGGCUCAACCAUUCAGUUCGUUAUCUAAACUGUCUUGCUCGAGAUCGUCAGGGGUAGCUGGAAUUUCUAGUGUAGGAGUGAAAUCC
This 687-nucleotide ribosomal RNA is filed under the name uncultured Candidatus Saccharibacteria bacterium. RNAcentral's name for it is "bacterial SSU rRNA". It matches the Rfam family "Bacterial small subunit ribosomal RNA", at positions 28 to 689 of the family's 1533-position model. The record is from RNAcentral. Lineage: Bacteria; Candidatus Saccharimonadota.